Molecule: small nucleolar RNA, 181 nt
Organism: Notolabrus celidotus (New Zealand spotty)
Lineage: Eukaryota; Metazoa; Chordata; Actinopteri; Labriformes; Labridae
Product: small nucleolar RNA SNORA23
Exons: 1
Source: RefSeq, a predicted model, not a curated record
AGUGAAUGGUGUGCACAGUGUUAGUCUGUGUUAUGUGUUGUUGCUGGUCUACGUUUUGCAGACACAGCAGCAGCACUCACUCCACACCUGCAGCCAUAGAACAAUAGGAGAUCAUAGUACUGGCUCUUGACGUCUUUGUUGACAUCUCACCAUUGGCCAGCCUCCAAAUUCUCCGACAAUA